CUAGUCUCCAUCGAAUAUUAUAUUUCUAACAGUUACUAAGUUCUACACUUGUUUGUAUUGUCUAUAAUUUUAUACUUUAUUUGUAUAGAUUUAUAAUUUACUUACUUACUUAUAUAUUAAGAUUUAUAAUAUAUUAUAUUUUUGUUGUAUUUUUAACGUAUAGGAUCGCAACGAAAUAGCAUUUCUAAUUUACACCUGGUCUCACGCGAUAAUAAAAUACAAAAAAAAGAUAUACAAGAACCACGAUUCGUCGCAAACGAUGGUGAUUACGGCACUCCAAUUAUUGCAGCGUAAUACGACGGUAGCUUAUCCUCUUCGGUAAGAAACAUCGUUACGUCAAUCGGAAAUAAACAUGAAAUUGUUACAAGAAACUAUCGUCGAGCUAUCGUGAACAUCCGAUUGUUCCAGCACGGAAUUCCUUCCGCGCAUUAUCGCGGAAUGUGUCAGUGGACAUUGUCAAUCGACAACAGAUACGUUCCGCUACACUUUUGCACGAACCUUUUCUUCUGGUUUUUCACUGGAGUCUUUUUUACCGGCGAGUUUCUUGUCCCGAGAGAAUGGUUGAAAUUCUUAUCAUCGAGCGCGACACAUCGUAUGCAUGCCUGUAAUUACAAGGACGUUGCGUGGUCUUGAACGACGUUGUGUUUUGCAUGUUAACGCGGCGAGUAUAACGAUGAAUUCACGAAAGUAAAGCAGAAAUUAUUAAUGUUUUAUGGGAAAACAUAGCACGAAACUUUUUAACUUUUAGAUUUAUUUCUAUAGUACCAAAGUCAAAACGUAACGCAACAAACAAUUUUAAUAUAUAUAAUGUUGAUCGAUUAUAUUAUUCUUAAAAAUUGAAACAACGAUUGAACGAUAAUUUGUUUUAUCGAAAAAGGUGUUUAAAAAUGUUCAUGAAACAGUACGAAGCUUAAAUAAAUAAGUGAAUAAAUAAAAUAUAUUCGUGGAUUAAUGUUAGUAUAAAGUUUAUAUAAAUAAAUAAAUAAAAAACGUUCAAGAACGAGUGUUAGCUCGAAGUUUAAAUAAAUAAGAAUGAAUCGAAUGUAUGUUAUUUCUGAUGCUUGUAAACGAGUAUCUCGAAAUAGCAGAAGAAUUUAUACAUGCCUGUUCGUCGAAAGUCCACGAAGAUCCUGGUAAAGAUACAAAAAUUGUAAAAGUAGAGAAUUUGUAACAUAUUUGAUCAUCUGAAUGGAUGGAUUAGUACAAAUUGAAAUGUCAUGUUUUCAUGGCAUUUUCCACUCUUUAAUCAGGGACAUUCCUGGAAAUAAUCGAAGCUCCCGAUUGCAAAUUACUGGUUGACAAGAAAGAGAGCGAUCUAGGGUUGUCUAAGAUUAGAGAGAUCCUUCGUGCCUAAGAGAAAGGAGCAAAAUAUUUUUUGAAAAAUGAGGACGAUGCGUUCUUUUCGAUCGGGAAUAUAUUAAUAGAAAGUAACAAUACAUCUAACAGAUCACUAACAAAAUAAAGACAUCGAUGAAAGACGUGAUGCAGCGUGUAAGGCGCAUUUUUCUCAAGAACAAAAGUUAGCAUUCUUGUCUCUCACUAUACUUUAUGUAUUAUUUAUAUUAUAUUUAUUACUAUAUUUUAUAGCGAUGAAGUAAAAAUUCAAUGGAAAGACUUUCGUCCCCCAUAUUUAAAAUUAACAUUACUUAAAAGAUAAAAUCGGUCACUUUGAUAGAAUAAUAAUAUAUAAAUGUAACUUACAGAAUAAUAAAUCUGAAAUAUAUGUACGAGUUAAAAGUGACUCAGCCUUCGCUGUACAUAACACCGCUUCUAGUUCAGAUAUUUAAGGAUGCUUCCCAACUUGCUAAAUUAAUUCUAGAUGAGCGAUGUGAAUUUUGCUAACAAAGUACAAUUACUAUAAUCCUCAAAUAUUCCUUUGGAAGGAAGGUGGAAAAUCUACAAUGGAAUUUUUGCAUGAAUUAUUUUGGACUAUAAGCUUAUUGGUGGUAGGAAGGCUUCUUAGGCUUAUAAACAUACAAAGAUAUUAACGUGAUAAAUAAUUAGAAGAGAUAAAAACAAAGAUAUCCUGAACAUGGGAUGAGUAUAAGAAAAAAUUCUGACUAGGAAUCUAAAAUUUUGUAUCUAAUAAAACGUGCAGGACAUUUGUGCGUAACAGUAAUAUUAUUGAAUUUAAAAUCAAUCCUGCACUGAAAUCUCUCGAUGAUAAUAAAUAAGUGUCGAGAAAAUGCAGUAUCGGGGUAUUUAUAAAACAUAAUACGUACCUGAGUUAUUUGCGCCCUGGUGGCAGAAAUAGGAAUUAAAAUUUUAAAUCACAUCAUUUCGCGCGCUGUCAUGUUGAAAGGUGGCAGCAUGAAUAGCAACUGCAGAGAAUUCGUGAAAAAUAUGAAAAUUUAACGUAUAUCGACAUAUCAGUGCUUCAAAAUGAUAGAACCACGUUAAUCGAUCUUAGUAAAGGAUAUCUGCCACUUGUUGGAUCUAGAGAGUCUUGCAAAGAUGCGCAUUUUCCACUGAAGUCAUCGGUAUCGAUGCUCCAAACCAUUACACCAGCCAAAUUUAAGUUCAUCGCAUAUUCGAUCUAAAAAUUUUGGAAAAACAUUAUAGAGGUACUCACCUAGGAUACCAUUGCUACUGAGGAGCAAUAUUGCAAGUAGAGACAGGAACACGCACACCUUCAUUAUUGAGAACAAAUAAAUUCGUUUUAUACCGAAUUAUUGUUCUGGUAGAUAGCUUUCACUUGACCACAGUGUCCUCGGAGAAAAAAAGCAGUCGCGCGUGUGACUUGCAAAAUGGUGCAGGUAGGAUGUUUGUGUAGUAAACGCCUAAGACGUACCUGUGCGUAUUCCAUAUAUAUAUAUAUACUAAAUUUCCGGAUAGAUAUUAGGAUAGAUAUCAGGAUAUAUAUCGGGAUAAAUAUCAAAAAAAUAGGAAACAAGCAGAUUUAAUUGAAAAACAAUUUCCGCCAAAGAUAGUCAUUCCCAGAAGUAAAAGAAACAUUGGAAAGCAUUUUAUACUUUUACAAUAAUUCAGAUAUCUAACUUACUUAGAUUACAGUACGAUAAUACUUAGCGAUUUGUUUAAUUGGUUUCAAACAAAAAUGUAAUUUCAUAUUACUAAAACAUAAAAUGUGCAUUUGCUUAUCUUUUAUAUUUUCAUUUUUGUAAGUAAUGAUUUUAACAAAAAGUGUUUCAUAUAAAAGUUAGAUGUUUGGAGCGGGAUAUAAUUUGAUUAUUUUAUUUUUUUGUAGGAGGAUGCGUAGAGGAUAUGAAGCCCAAUUUUGUUUUUCUUUCUUUUCGAAUAUUCUUUAUAUAUCUGGUGACAUACCAACUUUUUAUCUUGCAUAUUUAAAGAAUUAUAGCGGAAAAUACCUUACACAAAGACAGCUUCUGCUUUGAAUUAUUUUAUUAGAUGUGCAAAGAGUUGUCCAAUCGUUUCCAAAAAUGUAUCUAUUCUUAUGAUAACUUUUUGAACAUAGCUGCGUUAAGGAAAUAACUCCUUGAACAUGUAAUAAAAUCAUUUUCAAAGCAGAAUAUAUUUCUUUUGAUAAAUCUAUGGUGUAUAUGAUCAUACAUAAAUUUAGUGUAUUUUACAACUCUAUUCUACUUUCUAGCAUAAGAUUAUAUCAAGGUAUUCUUUUAGUUCAAUUAUUAAUUUAUUUACUUAUAUUAUUUUAUUUAAUAAUUUUUCGAGGUCGGUAUUUCAGAAUGUGACACCAUUGACUAAGAGUAGGAUUGCUGUGUACUCGUCUAUAUUCCUGUACCGAGCCAGUGAUUUCUGUUACUUCGAGUUUCUAAUUGGAACCGAUAGAUGGCAACACACAUCUAGAAAGGGAUCGUACUACUGUGCGACAAGGACAGAUAUAGUGUUCGCAGACAAAGGGCGCGACGAAUAGAAGUAUAGAGUUUAAUUAUGAUAGCAUUUCGAGACACAUGAAUCGAAGAAAUUUUCAUUCGUAAAAGAUAUUAGUUAAGGGGAUCUAUUUGUGAAUUGUUUGUAAUUGUAUCUGUUGAAAUGGACUGACUUUCUUCCUCUCUAUUUUAUAUCAUUAUAUGCAAUCAUCCAGCUUCCAGUCUUCUUAACCUAGAACACAUUAAUUUUAUUUUGAUAAAAAAAAGGACGAUUUCUGUACACUCAGAUUUUCUGUAAAUACAUAGAUAUCCAUAGACUACAAGUUGUACAGUAAACGUUGUACAAAUCCGUAACCUGUAGAAUCGCGAUUGAUUCGCAAACCAAUAAUAAUUAUUACUUGUAUCGCGUCCAUUGAGUAGAAAUCUCCCUCGAAAUAUGGUCAAUUCCAUUCCAAGGAAAUACAUAUUCCUUCUUUUCUGGCCUUUCUUAUUUGUUCGGUUAACAACGACUCUCGUAGAUCCGAAUCAGAAGGAACCUCUUUACGACCACACGAGGUCGAAAUUCAAGAAUUGUUCGCUGUUCAUUGAAAGUGGCAUGGCUUAACGAGCGAAAGAAAGAAGAAAAAUACGUGUUGCGUGGUAAUGACAAAUGCUGAUUCAUCGUAAAGGGCAAAUCUCUGGCACUCGUUUUGUUUUAUGUUACGUCACGCAGAUCCGCCGAUUUUACGUAAUUUUUUCACGAGCAUUCGGACGUGCAGAAUAAAAGCUUGCUUCCGGUACCAUCGCGCUUAAGACAGACAGCGAAAUCAUUCUCGCUGUCCACCUGUCCAUCAGAAUGGAAGAGCUAUAAAUAACCGAAAUAAAGAGACUUAAUCGUGCAAUACUUUGGUAUGGUUGAUUCAUCUAGAAUUGCGAAUUUGAUGCAACUAUGUGGAAUUUGUUUACUGGGAGAUGGUACUGUUGGAAAUACGCGAAAUAGUCGCUAGAUUUUAUAGAUAUUUAUGUAUUUAUAGGAAAUUUAAGAGCAUUCAUAAAGAUAUGAAUUUGUAUAAAAUCCACAGUCUAAAAAUGUUCAUACAAUAAAAAUCUCACACUUUGCCUCGGUACUAUUUCUCCACAAGUGUAUUAGUCCUCUAAAAAUCUGCAAUCUAAUGAUUAAUAAUCAUUAAUAAUGAUUAAUAAUAAUAAUAAUGAAUUAUAAAUUGCGAACGUAUUCUUCAUUUCUAUUUUGUUUCAUGAAAUAAUUUCGCUAAUAGUUCAAUGACAUAGUGCGUUCUUGCAGGGAUUCCCCGCCUGCAAGGUCGUCGAAGUUCAGAGAAUUGCAUUUGCUUCCCGCAUCUUGGAAUCUGCGCAUGGUAAUAUUCUUAACGGAACACGUGGCUGUUAAAAAAGCAACUCGUGAAGCGUGUCGGAGUCAAGGAACAGCCAAAAACGGCUUGCAAAAGAAGAGGAAAAAACCGAAGCUUCUAUCAGCUCCAGAUCGGUGUCCAUGAACCCUCGAGUGCUGUUUCUUGUGAAAAAGAAACCUGUUGUUCUUGCCUGGAUUCUUGGCCCUUUAUUCUUCUUCCUUCUUUAUAAUUUUUUUUUUUUUUUUUUAAUCUUUUAAGACUGCUCUUGUAUCUCACGUACGCCGUUUUCCUUUUGCAGUCUUUAUUUACUUUUGAAACUUCCUCGUGUUGCGGUACUCCACUGCGCUCUCUCAUCGAAAUCAGAAAAAGCCACGUCGAUCGGCAACUGAAAAUGAAGAAAAACGCUGUUAUGAACGCUGUUCUUCUAAGUUCGCUCUGUAAUUCUACUGUUAUUUCCUUGUAACAAGUAUAUCAUCUAUCUUUUGAAAAUUGAAAACACAAAUUGUAUUAUUUGCGUAAAGGAAUUGAGACAUUUUCAAAAAGAGUUUCGACCAGUUUGCUUUCUGAAUAGUUGAUACACGUAACAGCAUGGAAAUUAAGAAAAAGGAUGGGCGACGAUCGCGUGUGCCAUUUGCAUAUAUUUCCAGAGUAACGAUAUUACACCGUCUCGUGUUGCAGUUUCGAAAAAAGAAUCUUAAAAAGGAGACCAUGCAUCAAUUCGAAAGAAGGAAAAAUACAAAGUAUUCUUUGGAAAUUUUUCACUGUGGGAACAAUUAAAGAGAUUGACUAUAUGCAGUAAACAAUUGAGAAAGAAGAAGAUUAGAUUGUACCCAGACGAAAUUAUCAACGACAAAAUUUACAAUGCAAGGUAUUUAAGGUAUUUACUUUAGCUAUUGCAACUUUAAUGUCGAAGCGAGAGCAACGCGAAAGGAAUUGCGCAAUUGUAAGUGAAGAAGAAAUCGUGGCCGGGAAGUCGAGGACGCUAUGGAGAUCCAAUGGAACAGCAUUUAGCGGGGACAUUACAGCGUGUUUCGUUAUUUUUCAAGGAGCCAAAGUCGUCGAUCCUCCGCUUCUUUAUUUAUCUCUCUCUUUCGCUGUUCAUGUUUCUCUCAUGGAAACGAUGCUUGAACCACGUUUUACGUUGGUUAACGACCCUUUCGCGCCAGCGAAUAAAUUCCAGCUGCCCACGUAGGCUACUAUAUUUAUUGAGUAUCUCGAAUGAACGGUGAAGCGAGAGGUAAAGCUGCCGAAGAUCAAGUUCAAGAGCGACAGAUCGAUCGUUGGUCUUUUAGAGAAUGAUAGGAGUUCCUGGAGGCAGGUUUUCUGGGUCAAGGCCUUUGUCAAAAAUUUGAAUACGCCUAAUUUCAGUGUCCUUUAUCUUCGAUCUAUAUGCUCCCAACGUGGCUACCUACUGUAGCUCGUAAACGAUUUAUCGAGUCUUUACCACAUCGUUCCUUUCCUCGUCGGACGUGUAAUUAGCCGGCGUUUUAUUGGAUUGUUUUGACGCGAUCAAGAUGACAUAAACAAUGUCGAGUGAGCUACCGUCUUGAGCAAACGUCUUGUUGAAUUAAGAAAUUUCAGAAAAAUACGGAGAAGUUUUUCGGUUGGAUCAGAGAGGCCGAAUCGUAUGGAAUUUGUCAGCGUUAUGAAGUGUCCUCGAAUUUAUGAAGAAUAUCGGAUGACACGGGACUUAGUAAUGAAAUCCGGCACUGUGAGGAAAUAACUGGAUAUAAGACUCGUGCAGAGGAGGACGAAAUCAACGGUUAACUGUAUCUCCAUCGUAAAAUUGGCGCCGCGAUCCGGACGAUUCGAGCUUAAGAUUUGGUGAAUUUCCUUAUUGGUUUGUGGAGGCCUUGUGACUAACAGUAGGGUUGUUUAACAUCGAGAAAAGGUGGCCAAACGGGACCUUCGAUGAAGUUAAAUGUACGGUUUACUUAGAUAUAGUAUAAAGAGGUGAUGACGUAUUCAUCUUCAGGAUGUACGCAAGAUAUUGAUUUUACUAUUGAUUCUACUUUGACUCUAGUUAUCACAGGACUAAUCAUGUUUUCUCGAUGGUAUUUCACUAUGCCUGCAAAAAAUUUUUGUACCAAAUCUAUCUUCACAUUGUAAAAAGUUACGUACAUUUCGAAUUCGCUCUUUUUUCUUAUGUAAAUAAAAAAUAAUUCUGCCUUCGGUUCUGCUCUGAAGAAAUGAACUGGAACGUUCACGAAACGUGAGAACAACGCGCAGCAUAUUUCAUUUCCUUGUCUUAUAAAUUCGAGAUAUGUACAUUUUUAAAUAACAAAGAAAUAGAUUUCGUACAAAGAUUAUUUGUUAACAUAAUAAAGAUCGAAACCUAAAGAACCACAAGUAUGUGAUCCAAACAUCGUGAUAGUUUGAAAUCUAAAAACGGAAAUUAAUGACUCUUUCAACAAUCCUGUGUUUCAAGUGCCAUAGUUAUUUUUACAGAUACGGAAAUUAAAUUUCGUUCUGAAGAUUUGAAAAUGUCACACUCUGAUAUCGCAUAAUUGUGAAAACAGAAGCUUCUGUAUGUAAAUCACGUCGCUUUGAAACAAGUAUACCGACGAUCCACAAGUAUAUUUUCAAUUUUAAUAAGUA
This is a long non-coding RNA of Bombus huntii, 7753 nucleotides long. RefSeq lists it as uncharacterized. The transcript has 8 exons. The record is from RefSeq and is a predicted model, not a curated record. Lineage: Eukaryota; Metazoa; Arthropoda; Insecta; Hymenoptera; Apidae.